RNAcentral lists this ribosomal RNA (300 nucleotides) under uncultured Neomoorella sp. RNAcentral describes it as "bacterial SSU rRNA". It matches the Rfam family "Bacterial small subunit ribosomal RNA", at positions 490 to 795 of the family's 1533-position model. Lineage: Bacteria; Bacillati; Bacillota; Clostridia; Neomoorellales; Neomoorellaceae. The record is from RNAcentral.
GCGUCGUGGGUGGUGGCGGCUGUGGUAAGAAGGUGGGUGCGGGCGUUGGUCGGAGUGAUUGGGCGUAAAGGGCGUGUAGGCGGCGUGACAAGUCGGGGGUUAAAGCCCUCAGCGCAACGGAGGAAGUGCGCCCGAAACGGGUGUGCUUGAGGGCCGGAGAGGGUGGCGGAAUUCCACAAGUAGAGGUGAAAUUCGUAGAUAUGGGGAGGAACACCGGUGGCGAAGGCGGCCACCUGGACGGUAACUGACGCUGAGACGCGAAAGCGUGGGGAGCAAACAGGAUUAGAUACCCUAGUAGUC